CAGUCGCCACGGUAAUACCGAGGGUGCAAGCGUUAAUCGGAUUUACUGGGCGUAAAGGGCGCGUAGGUGGUUAUGUAAGUGAGAUGUGAAAUCCCCGGGCUCAACCUGGGAACUGCAUCUUAUACUGCGUAGCUGGAGUGCAAUAGAGGGUAGUGGAAUUUCCGGUGUAGCGGUGAAAUGCGUAGAUAUCGGAAGGAACACCAGUGGCGAAGGCGGCUACCUGGACUGACACUGACACUGAGGCGCGAAAGCGUGGGGAGCAAACAGGAUUAGAUACCCCCGUAGUCCCUGUCUCUUAUAC
This 301-nucleotide ribosomal RNA is filed under the name uncultured bacterium. RNAcentral's name for it is "partial 16S ribosomal RNA". It matches the Rfam family "Bacterial small subunit ribosomal RNA", at positions 509 to 807 of the family's 1533-position model. The record is from RNAcentral.